Molecule: transfer RNA, 65 nt
Filed under: Dipodomys ordii (Ord's kangaroo rat)
Lineage: Eukaryota; Metazoa; Chordata; Mammalia; Rodentia; Heteromyidae
Rfam family: tRNA
About the family: Transfer RNA (tRNA) molecules are approximately 80 nucleotides in length. Their secondary structure includes four short double-helical elements and three loops (D, anti-codon, and T loops). Further hydrogen bonds mediate the characteristic L-shaped molecular structure. tRNAs have two regions of fundamental functional importance: the anti-codon, which is responsible for specific mRNA codon recognition, and the 3' end, to which the tRNAs corresponding amino acid is attached (by aminoacyl-tRNA synthetases). tRNAs cope with the degeneracy of the genetic code in two manners: having more than one tRNA (with a specific anti-codon) for a particular amino acid; and 'wobble' base-pairing, i.e. permitting non-standard base-pairing at the 3rd anti-codon position.
Source: Rfam by way of RNAcentral
GGUGGCUCAGUGAUAGAGUGCUUGUCUCGCAUACAUGAGGCCCUGGGUUCAAUUCCUCAGCACCA